Non-coding RNA from Salmo salar (Atlantic salmon), 674 nucleotides. The record is from RefSeq and is a predicted model, not a curated record. NCBI's taxonomy places the organism in Eukaryota, Metazoa, Chordata, Actinopteri, Salmoniformes, Salmonidae.
CACCUAUGGGUGGUUCGUAGACCAGCUCCAUUAUUGCAAUUCUUAAUCGAUAAUAAAGAUUGAUUGUUUGAAGAAAUUACAAAGUCUCUCUCACUUUUCGCCCGGAAUGUCGUGGAGGAGGAUGGGAUGCUGACCUUCAUCUGCUGAACGCUCCUAAGGACCUGGGUAAACUGUGCACAGGAGUAACCCUCAUUGGGUACUCAGGGCAGACUACACUCCAAGAGUGAGCAGAUGAAACCUGCCUAAGAUCCAAGAAGUACGCGUUGGCAGGUUAUGCCGAAGGUGACCACAGAUGGUAUCUAGAUGCAUGAAAGGGAAAAUUUGACUGUGAACAGUGUGAACCUAAAUCCCCUCUAACCGGCUGAAGUAAUGGCGAAAAAUGGCAUUCAGUAUGGUCCUUUACCACCUAUACCAUGAGACCUGAGUCCGAGCCAGCAACCUGUACCCAGUAUCCAGUCGAUGCUAUCAACUGCCUGUUCUCUCAUGCCUUCUCUCUCAGGAGUGUGACAGGCGUCCACGUGGAGUGAGUCUGUUCCAAACGUCUCUCAUGUUGCUGGUGUACUGGUUGGCAAAUGGACAAGACACAAUGGACUGUAAAGGACAGUGGCGGCUCAGAGGACCUGAGCCCUAGGACCAUGCCUCAGGACUACCUGGCUUGAUGACUCCUUGCUGUC